GACGCUGCCAUGGCUGCAAGGCCCCAUU
Molecule: non-coding RNA, 28 nt
Filed under: Mus musculus (house mouse)
Lineage: Eukaryota; Metazoa; Chordata; Mammalia; Rodentia; Muridae
Source: RNAcentral